UACGGAGGGUCCAAGCGUUAUCCGGAAUCAUUGGGCUUAAAGGGUCCGUAGGCGGUUUAAUAAGUCAGCGGUGAAAGCCUAUCGCUUAACGAUAGAACGGCCAUUGAUACUGUUAGACUUGAAUUAGUGGGAAGUAACUAGAAUAUGUAGUGUAGCGGUGAAAUGCUUAGAUAUUACAUGGAAUACCAAUUGCGAAGGCAGGUUACUAUCACUAUAUUGACGCUGAUGGACGAAAGCGUGGGGAGCGAACAGG
RNAcentral lists this ribosomal RNA (253 nucleotides) under uncultured bacterium. Its description in RNAcentral is "partial 16S ribosomal RNA". It matches the Rfam family "Bacterial small subunit ribosomal RNA", at positions 524 to 776 of the family's 1533-position model. The record is from RNAcentral.